GGGAUUGCCCUAGUAACGGCGAGUGAAGCGGCAACAGCUCAAAUUUGAAAUCUGGCGUCUUUGGCGUCCGAGUUGUAAUUUGCAGAGGGCGCUUUGGCAUUGGCAGCGGUCCAAGUUCCUUGGAACAGGACGUCACAGAGGGUGAGAAUCCCGUACGUGGUCGCUAGCCUUUACCGUGUAAAGCCCCUUCGACGAGUCGAGUUGUUUGGGAAUGCAGCUCUAAAUGGGAGGUAAAUUUCUUCUAAAGCUAAAUACUGGCCAGAGACCGAUAGCGCACAAGUAGAGUGAUCGAAAGAUGAAAAGCACUUUGGAAAGAGAGUUAAAAAGCACGUGAAAUUGUUGAAAGGGAAGCGCUUGCAGCCAGACUUGCCUGUAGUUGCUCAUCCGGGUUUUUACCCGGUGCACUCUUCUAUAGGCAGGCCAGCAUCAGUUUGGGCGGUUGGAUAAAGGUCUCUGUCAUGUACCUCCUUUCGGGGAGAUCUUAUAGGGGAGACGACAUGCAACCAGCCUGGACUGAGGUCCGCGCAUCUGCUAGGAUGCUGGCGUAAUGGCUGUAAGCGGCCCGUCUUGAAACACGGACCAAGGAGUCUAACAUCUAUGCGAGUGUUUGGGUGUCAAGCCCGAACGCGUAAUGAAAGUGAACGGAGGUGGGAACCUUUCGGGGUGCACCAUCGACCGAUCCUGAUGUCUUCGGAUGGAUUUGAGUAAGAGCAUAGCUGUUGGGACCCGAAAGAUGGUGAACUAUGCUUGAAUAGGGUGAAGCCAGAGGAAACUCUGGUGGAGGCUCGCAGCGGUUCUGACGUGCAAAUCGAUCGUCAAAUUUGGGCAUAGGGGCGAAAGACUAAUCGAACUAUCUAGUAGCUGGUUACUGCCGAAGUUUCCCUCAGGAUAGCAGUAACGUUUUCAGUUUUAUGAGGUAAAGCGAAUGAUUAGAGGCAUGGGGGUUGAAACAACCUU
Molecule: ribosomal RNA, 957 nt
Filed under: Stagonosporopsis papillata
Lineage: Eukaryota; Fungi; Ascomycota; Dothideomycetes; Pleosporales; Didymellaceae
Description: eukaryotic LSU rRNA
Rfam family: Eukaryotic large subunit ribosomal RNA
Source: RNAcentral